CACGUAGGCGGCCUGGCCAGUCAGUCGUGAAAUCCCUCGGCUCAACCGAGGAACGGCGAUUGAUACUGCCAGGCUUGAGUGAAGCAGGGGGGUGUGGAACUCCGGGUGGAGCGGUGAAAUGCUUAGAUAUCCGGAGGAACGCCGGUGGUGAAAACGACGCCCUGGGCUUCUACUGACGCUGAGGUGCGAAAGCUAGGGGAGCGAACAGGAUUAGAUACCCUGGUAGUCC
Molecule: ribosomal RNA, 229 nt
Filed under: uncultured bacterium
Lineage: Bacteria
Description: partial 16S ribosomal RNA
Rfam family: Bacterial small subunit ribosomal RNA
Source: RNAcentral